UACGGAGGGUGCAAGCGUUAAUCGGAAUUACUGGGCGUAAAGCGCUCGUAGGCGGCUUGUUAAGUCGGAUGUGAAAGCCCUGGGCUCAACCUGGGAACUGCAUUCGAUACUGUCAAGCUAGAGUAUAGAAGAGGCAAGUGGAAUUCCAGGUGUAGCGGUGAAAUGCGUAGAUAUCUGGAGGAACAUCAGUGGCGAAGGCGACUUGCUGGUCUAAUACUGACGCUGAGGAGCGAAAGCGUGGGGAGCAAACGGG
RNAcentral lists this ribosomal RNA (253 nucleotides) under uncultured bacterium. RNAcentral's name for it is "partial 16S ribosomal RNA". It matches the Rfam family "Bacterial small subunit ribosomal RNA", at positions 524 to 776 of the family's 1533-position model. The record is from RNAcentral.